UGCCACACCUGUGAGGUGGAUGGAUUAUCUCGACAAAGGAGAAGUGCUCACUAACACAGAUUUAGACAGAUUUGUGAACAAUAUUUGAGAAAUAGGCCUUUUGUGUACAUAGAAAAAGUCUUAGAUCUUUGAGUUCAGCUCAUGAAAAAUGGGGGCAAAAACAAAAGUGUUGCGUUUAUAAUUUUGUUCAGUGUAUGUAUCUAUCAGUAUGAAGUCUUAUGAUGAGAAAAAUCUGUACCAAGUAAUCUAUUACUAUCUAAAACACCUUAAUUUACAAAGUGUUUUUUUUUUUUUUUAAACUUUGCAUAAAUGUAGAUUAAUGAACCAGUUUUGUGGUAUAGAUCAUGUCCCUGCAGUUUCACUGCUCAAUUCUCUGCCAUUUAGGAGUUAAAUAACUUUCUAUAUACAGCCAUAGCCACACCUCUCUUCAUGUAAGUGCACAGCCUUCCUAAACACUUCCUGUAAAGUGAGAUCUAAUGUUCACACUUUCUUUAUUGCAAGUUCUGUUUAAAUUAGAAUUUCUUAUAUCCUGCACUGUUAGUAGCUUGCUAGACCAUACAGGAGCCUCUGUAUGUGACUUAAGUUAAAUUUACAGAGCAGGAGAUAAUGUGUGAUUGAAAAUGAAACCAUUUUUCCAUGCAGGCUGUGUCAGUCACAGCCAAAGGAGGUGUACCUAGGAGUGCAUAAACAGAAACAAAGGUGAUUAAACUCCUAAAUGGCAGAGAAUUGAGCAGUGAGACUUGAGAAGCAUGAGCUAUAUACUAAAACUGCUUCAUUAAGGUACAUUUGUUUUGUUGACUAUAGUGUCCCUUUAAGGUACAACCUCUUAAAGAAUUUAUAAUUCAGACUAGGUUGUCAAAUUUAAGAAGUUAGGGUUAUAUAUAUUCCAGAACUCUGGUUUUAAUAGAUACUCUGCCGCUGCUGCCCAAUGCUGAAACAUCUUUGCUGUACGAUAAGUAAUAAGUUAAAGAUGACUGCGAGGGUCAUCACAGUCUUCUCAUGGAUUACGUGCAUGUUCCUUUAAUGGCCCUUUGUAGUGGUGCUGUGGACAGGGAAUCCUAAUAACAAGCAGAUCCAUCACUUCGGGAGAUAGGAUAGGAGAUAGGAAGAGAAAAGUUUUAUUUAUUUAUUUAUUUUCUUACCUCCACCCUCCUUUAACCCCUUAAGGACCAAACUUGUGGAAUAAAAGGGAAUCAUAACAUGUCACACAUGUCAUGUGUCCUUAAGGAGUUAAAGGCUUUACUGCCUAUUAUUAUUCUUAUUAUUAUUUUUUUUAUGAUAUUGUGGUUGGCUUUCUCACUAUAUUCUUCCUCAUUCCCAUUUGCAGUUCUGCAGAUGACCGGGUAUAUUACAGCAAGCACUUUGUCAGAGGUUACCUCUCCUUACCGGACUAAAUCUGGAUUCAGCCACCUUUAUCUGAUUGUUUCUCCUAUAAACUCCAUUUAGUUUUUUCGGGCUCAGUCUGUUACCUUUGUUCAAUCUUGUUUUUCACACAUUUAAGUCACUGAGUCCUCUCUAACACAUUUAUUUGUUGAAAUAAAAAUUCAAUGUGAAUUCAAAGUGAAUUUCAAAUUUAAGGUCAAAACAUCCGAACUAGAACAAUUCUGUAACACAUCUAUGCUUUCUCUCUGAUUGCUUUGGUGUUUAAAGGAACACUAUAGUGUCAGGAAUAGAAAUCUGUGUAGCUGUAAUAACAUAUUUUAGGUGAUCAGCACUCCUGUAAUUGAUUCCACCCUUCUGUGACGUCAUUUACAUCAUGACGUCACUGUGUAUGCCUCACGUCAUAAAAGGGGGUGAAGUUACAGCACCCUGCGUCCAAAAAGCUGGUAAAAGAAUCAGAGGUGCAGGGAAGAUUGGUACCUCCCGCCAAUGUUACAUGGGUGCCCAGAGGAGACCGCACAAGAGAUACCCUAUCACACACCCCACAAUCUCAUAAAAACGAUGACCAUUAUUGCAAAUUAAAUUUGUUUAAACAAAUCCAAGAAAAUGAGGUCUGCGCAACCAGAUUAGGUGUGCACACCAUGGCGCUACCAAUCUUGUAUUGAAGGACAGCGUUAUGUAGUAAACAUUUCGGGUACAAGUCCUUUGUCAAUGCAUGUGUUCCUUUAAGGGCCUUAUGGGAGUAACCGUGCUGCUGGUUACAUUUGUUUAAUACGGAAUACAUUUCUAGCUGUCCUGUUGUAGAUGCUUCUUUACAUAAUUUGAGGAAUAGAGCUCAUUUUAUUUUGUGAGCAUGUAACAUAUCAAUUUUGUUCUUUCUAGAUCUGGUUACUUCCUUUUUACAAUAUGCUCCGUCACUUCCCCAUGAUGUGUAUUUUUUUUUUUUUUUUUUUAAAGGACUACGUGGAAUCAAAAACACAGAACUCUAUUAAAAUUCUCUAAAGGAGAGACAAAACAUUUCUGCAAACAACAAUGUAGCACACCUUGUUAAUCAAUAUCAGUAAUACAAAAUGUGUUCGCUGUUAUUCGAGUUACUAUAUGAAUAGUUGGCAAUCAAUCAUGUGGAUAAAAAUAAUACAUUUGUAAAAUAUUAACACAAGAAUCCAGCCACCGAAAACAUGGUAACAUAUAUCGUGAUAGAUUUAAAGGGACACUCUCUAAAGACUAUCAUUACAGCUUUGUGUCUGCUUAUCAUUAACAUUUUAUUGUGAUUCGUGGACUGUGGUUGUUAUGGUGCUUAGAGUAUGCUUUUCAUUCUUUUUUUUUGUUUGUUUUUUCAUUUAACAAAGUUUGAGUGGGAAAAAAAGUGCAUUCAUGUUAAAUGGCCGUGAGAGAUGGAUUGUUUUUUUUAUUGGAGAGUAGAGUUACUGGUGGUGGGCUUAGCAGUUGCUCCUCUCAGUUACAGGCAAAAUCUUUUGGUUUGCCCAUAACAAUGUAUUUUUUUUUAUACAUCCUUUGAUCAUUUGGGGAUGAGAUGUGGGAAGAGCCUGAACAUUUUAAAUUUUUAUUUUUUAUUUUUUUGGCUAAAUCAACCUCUGAUUCUAAUACAUUCUAUCUAUAUUAGUUCUAAGUAUAGCAAUAUACUGUGGUAGAGGCAUUAAGAGCAAUGUCCCAUCAGAUAAGUCCUGCUAGGCUCUUUAUUGUAUUAGCAAACACCGUUUGUAGUCUCUGAGAAUAUUUUUGAUGAGACUGAAGUUAUUCCUUUUCUCGGUUUUUGUGUAUUUAAAUUUUUUUUUUUUUCCCCCUCUAUUACAAUGUGUGUUUUAUUUUAUUCCUACGCUUCUGCAAU
Molecule: non-coding RNA, 3229 nt
Organism: Pelobates cultripes (western spadefoot toad)
Lineage: Eukaryota; Metazoa; Chordata; Amphibia; Anura; Pelobatidae
Source: the annotation of a GenBank genome assembly